RNAcentral lists this unclassified non-coding RNA (430 nucleotides) under Hevea brasiliensis (rubber tree). Lineage: Eukaryota; Viridiplantae; Streptophyta; Magnoliopsida; Malpighiales; Euphorbiaceae. The record is from RNAcentral.
AGGCUCAAGAAUUUUGUUGGCUGUGUACAAACUGAUUCAGGUGUAGUGAAAGAUGUUAAGGGUAUUCGAUCUGAGGUGGUUAAAUUUUUCAAACUCUUAUACAGUGAAUCCCAGUGUUGUCGUCCCACUCUCUUGCUAGAUAAUCUUAAAAGGUUGUCUGCUGCGGCAUCUGAAUCUUUGGAAUCUCCUUUUCUUUUUGAAGAAGUAAAGGUUGCUGUUUGGUCUUGCGGUAGUGACAAAGCUCCAGAUCCUGAUGGAUACAAUUUCCAUUUCAUCAAAUCAUGUUGGGAUAUUCUUUCAAAGGACAUUAUGUGUAUGGUGGAUAACUUUUACAGAUCUGGUACUCUACCUCGCGUUGUCAAUUCCUCAUUUAUCUCUCUGAUUACAAAGGUAAUUGGCUCAUCUCUGCUUACUGACUUCAGACCUAUUA